Long non-coding RNA from Sinocyclocheilus anshuiensis, 105 nucleotides. RefSeq lists it as uncharacterized. Lineage: Eukaryota; Metazoa; Chordata; Actinopteri; Cypriniformes; Cyprinidae. The transcript is spliced from 3 exons. The record is from RefSeq and is a predicted model, not a curated record.
AAGCCGCUCUAACACGCUUCUCUGAGCCUCCUUCGUCUCCUUCGCCUCUGCUGGUCCCGUCCAGUUCUCCUUCGCCUCCGCUGAUCCCAUCAAACUCCUUCUUUG